GCAGGCUCAGAGAGCCAAGCCUAGCAACAUGACCAACACAAAUACUGCACCCAGGAGGAGUAGUAUGAGGAAAUUAGAGAAUAAAAAGGACAUCAUGGCCCUCUGGCUUCUGAGGAUUGCUGCCUGCUGAUGCUGUCGAUUGAAAGGAGAGCUUAUGCAAUGAUCUUGAAAUCCUGGCGUUAUUAGAGUUGUUGUCCUUCGUGCUCAAAGAGGACCAGAAUGACAUCACUAUGUCGGAGACGAGGUGCACAGCUGAUCAGACCAAUAGGAGCUCGGAAGGCUUGACCACAGGAAGCAAGCUAGAUGAACACACCACAUCUGCCAGUUUCUUUUUUUCUCCAGUAUCAGGCUGAGAAGAGAAAAAUAUAAUGGCUCUCAGGGGAAGGAAGAAAUUAAAAGCAGUUCUAAACUAAUGCAUUCAAAAGGAGAACCAAGCCCCAAGAUUACUUACAUAGUCUUUGCUCCUCUACACAACUUUCAGCAGAUAUUUUACUCCUAUGAGUCUAAGGAGAAAGGAUUGAUUUAGAUAUGUUUCUCUUGACUGCUAAUGUGGAGAAAGGUAAACCUGAGAGAAUCAAGCGCAAUUUAGGGGAACAAAAUUUCAUCCACCAGCUGCUGGUAAGAGCUAUAAUGAUGUUUCAACAUUCUGCUUUCAAUAGAACAUUAUUUAUGCUCUUCCCAAACCUUUAGAGAAGCUAUUACAAUUGCUCCUGGCACGCAGAGAAGGCUUUUCAAGGGGUAGAGAGAAAAAUUAAAUUGAAUGUUUUAUUUCCUCAAAACUAUAGGUAGAAAAGGGGUAACAUUUCACGACAUAUGCAAAUGCUAUCACAAGUCAGGUUCAACAUUCAGAGAUUCAAAAAAGAGAAUGACAAAUUUAUGAAGCAUGGUGAUAGCUCUUCUGAUAGAUUAAAGAGGCAACAUGAACUAGCGGAAAGAAAGAUCCUUGAUCUUCCAGUCAGAAAACCUGAGUUCAAAUCUAAGUUCUGACACUGCACAACUGGGCAAGUCAUUUGAACUCCAUAAUCCCAAAAAGCCUUAUUUGUCAGAAGACUGAUACACACAUUUUAAUGGAAGUGCUUUGCAAACUUUAAAACUGCUUCACAAACAUGAAUUGUAAGGACUGUAAUGCUAAAAUAAGUCCUGAAAAUAGAGAAAAGCUAAUGAAAGGGCUUUGUGGCUGGCACCUAAAGCAACAAGGAGCUGAGGAUGAAAGGAAAUAAGAUAUAAUGAAAUAUACAUAUGCCAGAAAAUGUGAUGUGUUAGAAUGUUUCUUUUUUCAUUUAGAGAUGGAUAUGUUUGUUUAAUACUAAUAGUUUUGUAUACCCUGAUUUUUAAAAUACCUAUCAUGAAUAGAAGAUGGGAUAAAUAGUUC
Molecule: non-coding RNA, 1372 nt
Organism: Phascolarctos cinereus (koala)
Lineage: Eukaryota; Metazoa; Chordata; Mammalia; Diprotodontia; Phascolarctidae
Source: RefSeq, a predicted model, not a curated record